UACGUAGGGACCAAGCGUUGUUCGGAUUUACUGGGCGUAAAGGGCGCGUAGGCGGCUUAACGAGUCACUUGUGAAAUCUCCGGGCUUAACUCGGAACGGCCAAGUGAAACUGUCAAGCUAGAGUGCAGAAGGGGCAAUCGGAAUUCUUGGUGUAGCGGUGAAAUGCGUAGAUAUCAAGAGGAACACCUGAGGUGAAGACGGGUUGCUGGGCUGACACUGACGCUGAGGCGCGAAAGCCAGGGGAGCAAACGGG
Molecule: ribosomal RNA, 253 nt
Filed under: uncultured bacterium
Lineage: Bacteria
Description: partial 16S ribosomal RNA
Rfam family: Bacterial small subunit ribosomal RNA
Source: RNAcentral